UCCUACGGGAGGCAGCAGUGGGGAAUAUUGGACAAUGGGGGCAACCCUGAUCCAGCCAUGCCGUGUGUGUGAAGAAGGCCUUUUGGUUGUAAAGCACUUUAAGCAGUGAAGAAGACUCCAUGGUUAAUACCCAUGGACGAUGACAUUAGCUGCAGAAUAAGCACCGGCUAACUCUGUGCCAGCAGCCGCGGUAAU
RNAcentral lists this ribosomal RNA (195 nucleotides) under uncultured bacterium. RNAcentral describes it as "partial 16S ribosomal RNA". It matches the Rfam family "Bacterial small subunit ribosomal RNA", at positions 337 to 524 of the family's 1533-position model. The record is from RNAcentral.